GGCCCCUUGGUCAAGCGGUUAAGACACCACCCUUUCACGGUGGUAUCAGGAGUUCGAUUCUCCUAGGGGUCACCA
Molecule: transfer RNA, 75 nt
Filed under: Clostridium sp.
Lineage: Bacteria; Bacillati; Bacillota; Clostridia; Eubacteriales; Clostridiaceae
Also listed under: 1 other name
Description: tRNA-Glu
Rfam family: tRNA
About the family: Transfer RNA (tRNA) molecules are approximately 80 nucleotides in length. Their secondary structure includes four short double-helical elements and three loops (D, anti-codon, and T loops).
Source: RNAcentral